This 996-nucleotide long non-coding RNA is filed under the name Daucus carota (carrot). RNAcentral's name for it is "long non-coding RNA (DCAR_LNC001447)". The record is from RNAcentral. Lineage: Eukaryota; Viridiplantae; Streptophyta; Magnoliopsida; Apiales; Apiaceae.
AAACAACUCCUCUAGUGCGCCUACAAACGCCAGUCAUACUCAGCUACCUUCUACCCUUAUAAAUAUACAAGCUCCCGUGUCGUUUCAUUUCUGUGGAUCAACCCUAAAUAUAAGUACAAUUGUGUUUGUACCUCUACAAGGUGGAUCAUCAUGAUUCUUCAGAGUGCAUUUGUGCUGAGGAGUAUAAGGGCUGUGCUAAUUAUAGGUAUGAUAUUACUAGGAGGCAUGGCUACGAAGGGAGAUUCGAUGAAAGUGAAAAGUAUGGAAUUCUUUAGCUCAAUUCAGAGCGAGCUUCCCAGAGGUCCGGUGCCUCCUUCGGAUCCUUCUCCAUGCCAUAACAGGGUGAAGCUCACGCAUGAAGGAUCGCAGUACUCUUAUGGUCAUGCUCAUUUCAUCAUGUGCCCGUGAUUAACUUCUAUCCCAUACUCCGACAACUUAUUAUUUCAAUCAUUUACGUUGUUGUAACAGCUCAAACCUUCAAAGUUCCAGUUCAUAGUCUUUAAACAGAGUUCAUGACCGGGUUCGAGUAUCAGGAGAGACACGUCCGAGUACAAGUUAUACUUGUUUGGUUUCAAAUCUCAUCAAAUGUGUCGUUAAUCUUACAGCAACGUCUUGUUCUGUAUCAGUGAAAUGUGUGCAAGUAGUCCUAUAUUUGAAGAACAAAACCUUUUGUUCUUUUUCUUGUUGAUAUCAUAGUAGAGUUUUCAUUUUUUUGUAAUCGUAUCUUAUCUGCCAAAACAAUAACUUUUCCGUUUUGCUAUGGGAUCUAUUAAUUUUUCUACUCAUGUAACCAUGAAUUUUUGUAAUUGUAACUAGUAGUUCUCGCAUUCAAAGUAGAUUCCUGUUUCUCAAAUAUGCUUAUGGUGUUAAGGACUGACAAAUAAACCAAUAGACGUUGUGGUUCGAAUCAUGUUCUGUAUCGAUACAUCUGAUUAACACCUGGAUUCCACUUUUGAAUAAGAUUUGAGAGCAAUCAUAUCUCUGAUAUUUUUUUCA